AUGGGCGGCGAGCGGCGGACGGGUGAGUAAUGCCUGGGAAUAUGCCCUGAUGUGGGGGAUAACCAUUGGAAACGAUGGCUAAUACCGCAUAAUCUCUUCGGAGCAAAGAGGGGGACCUUCGGGCCUCUCGCGUCAGGAUUAGCCCAGGUGGGAUUAGCUAGUUGGUGGGGUAACGGCUCACCAAGGCGACGAUCCCUAGCUGGUCUGAGAGGAUGAUCAGCCACACUGGAACUGAGACACGGUCCAGACUCCUACGGGAGGCAGCAGUGGGGAAUAUUGCACAAUGGGGGAAACCCUGAUGCAGCCAUGCCGCGUGUGUGAAGAAGGCCUUCGGGUUGUAAAGCACUUUCAGUCGUGAGGAAGGGUGUGCAGUUAAUAGCUGUACAUUUUGACGUUAGCGACAGAAGAAGCACCGGCUAACUCCGUGCCAGCAGCCGCGGUAAUACGGAGGGUGCGAGCGUUAAUCGGAAUUACUGGGCGUAAAGCGCAUGCAGGCGGUCUGUUAAGCAAGAUGUGAAAGCCCGGGGCUCAACC
Molecule: ribosomal RNA, 534 nt
Filed under: Photobacterium sp. AmSamHH65
Lineage: Bacteria; Pseudomonadati; Pseudomonadota; Gammaproteobacteria; Vibrionales; Vibrionaceae
Description: bacterial SSU rRNA
Rfam family: Bacterial small subunit ribosomal RNA
Source: RNAcentral